GGCAUCUUAGCUCAGUUGGGAGAGCAACAGAGGUUUACCUCUGGAGACAUGGGUUCGACACCCAUAGAUGCCC
Cnuella takakiae is the source of this 73-nucleotide non-coding RNA. The record is from Rfam. NCBI's taxonomy places the organism in Bacteria, Pseudomonadati, Bacteroidota, Chitinophagia, Chitinophagales, Chitinophagaceae.